GGACUACCGGGGUUUCUAAUCCCGUUCGCUACCCUAGCUUUCGCGCCUCAGCGUCAGAAGAGGUCCAGACUGUCGCUUUCGCCACUGGCGUUCCCGCCGAUAUCAACACAUUUCACCGCUCCACCGGCAGUUCCACAGUCCUCUAUCUCCCUCGAGCGACGCAGUACUGGGAGCGAUUCCACGGUUGAGCCGAUGGGAUUUCACUUCCAACUUACGCCGCCGCCUACGCGCUCUUUAAGCCCAAUGAUUCCGAAUAACGUUUGCACGGUUCGUCUUACCGCGGCGGCUGGCAC
RNAcentral lists this ribosomal RNA (293 nucleotides) under uncultured bacterium. RNAcentral's name for it is "partial 16S ribosomal RNA". The record is from RNAcentral. RNAcentral also lists the same sequence under 2 other names.